RNAcentral lists this ribosomal RNA (494 nucleotides) under uncultured bacterium. RNAcentral's name for it is "partial 16S ribosomal RNA". It matches the Rfam family "Bacterial small subunit ribosomal RNA", at positions 28 to 507 of the family's 1533-position model. The record is from RNAcentral.
GACGAACGCUGGCGGCGCGCUUAACACAUGCAAGUCGAACGGAAAGGCCUGCUUUCCCUUGUGGAUUGCGGGUACUCGAGUGGCGAACGGGUGAGUAACACGUGAGUGAUCUGCCCCCAACUUGGGUAUAAGCCUGGGAAACUGGGUCUAAUUCCCGAUAGGACUGCAGGGUGGUGCCUGUGGUGGAAAACGAUUUUCUAGUGGUUGGGGAUGAGCUCGCGGCCUAUCAGCUUGUUGGUGGGGUAAUGGCCUACCAAGGCGGCGACGGGUAGCCGGCCUGAGAGGGUGGACGGCCACAUUGGGACUGAGAUACGGCCCAGACUCCUACGGGAGGCAGCAGUGGGGAAUAUUGCACAAUGGGCGGAAGCCUGAUGCAGCGACGCCGCGUGGGGGAUGACGGCCUUCGGGUUGUAAACUCCUUUCGACUGCGAGGAAGCCACCUGGUUGGAAGGGUGGUGACGGUAGUGGUAGAAGAAGCACCGGCUAACUACGUG